UUUCCUUUUUCUCUUUAUUAUUUUUCUAUCCUUUUUUUUCCUUAACCAAAUGCAUCUGUCUAUUUUACUAGCAAACGAUCCCUUUUACAUUCUUCCCAGCAUAACCAGGAUGGUAGCCUAGAUCGUCAAUCCAUUCUAAAUUUCUGGCCUUGCAUACAGCACUCGAAUUAAUGACCUCUUUUGUAGCUGUUGCGGUUCAUUACAAGCAUGUAAUGUCUUCCGUGGUGCAAUUUUACUUUACAUGUCAGCUUAUACAUCUAGUCAUCGAGCCUUAUCUUUGUACUCUUUUGCCCUUGAUUUUUCGAACUUUCUUCAUUAAAAUUAAUCUGGCUUUUUAAAUAGUAUCGCCGCUCUCAUCAUAUUCAUUAAAUUUUUCAUUGAUUCAUUCUUCUAUUUCUAGUGGGUUCAAGACUCAACAAAUGUUUUUGCAACUCCCUCACCUGUCAUUGUUAAGCAUUGAUUAUCUUUUUGGUGUCAGUGAGAAAGAAUAAAGAUAUAGUAACAAAGAUGAGAGGAGGUCCUCCACACUCUUUCUUGUGUUGCUGUAAAUCCCAUUGACUCGUCGAUUUCAGUCAUCUUCAGUACAAACUUAUUUAUUCUUGAGUGGAACAUCAACUAGCCCCAUGGUUAAUGAUUUGUAUUCUUGAGAAACCAUGUGUGCUGGCAAAGGCCAAUGCCUUGUGGAUUUAAGAUAAUGAUCUGCUUUUCAUGAGUUUCGUA
Long non-coding RNA from Populus nigra (black poplar), 720 nucleotides. RefSeq lists it as uncharacterized. The record is from RefSeq and is a predicted model, not a curated record. NCBI's taxonomy places the organism in Eukaryota, Viridiplantae, Streptophyta, Magnoliopsida, Malpighiales, Salicaceae. The transcript is spliced from 2 exons.